GCCUUAACUGCGAAAAUAAACAACUCAUUUGUCCCAUGUGAAAAGGAAUUAAAACUUCUCACUGAGUCUUAAUCUUGAGUCUGUGUUUUCUCUCUGCUUCAUAAUCUCCGCAGAACAAGCCGGCAGCAAUUCUUGAGCCUUUAGGUCCACAUCCUGAGAAAGUUCAAAGCACUUCCUUCACAUAAUGGUUUUUUUUCCUUUCCAAGCGGUCGUGCAGGAAGAGGUGAGACCCACCAAACCACAGUUUGCCUCGCUCCCUGUGAGCAAUGCUGUUGAUAUAACGACCCAGCUCAGACAGGGAAGGAUUUCUAGUGGCUGCCACUGAUUUCCUACAGGAGGGCACUGUGGAAGGAAGGAGAGGUGGUACGCAUGGGGAAAGAUCAAAGUGCUUUCAGAGAUCUGCAGUAGUAUCGCAUUCUUCUUUCGAUUACGUGAGUGCAGCUGAAGACCUGGAGCAGCAGUGAUGAGGUGCAUGCACUGCAGCUACUCCCUUCCCUAUUCUCAUAGGAAGCUCAUGCGUUGAGGGAAGAAGUUCCCAGAGCUUUCUGUGCUGGUGAAAGAGGCAGCUGUGCUAAUUCUGAUACCGAGUAUUCUCUUACAAACUGAGAUGCUGCAAAACUCCUCAGAAGAGCAGAAAAGGAAGACUUACACCUCUGUCUGACACAGUUAAAAUCUCUCCCUGUGCACUUAUCAGCUUGCAUAUCUCUGUGAAACUCUGUGCUUCAGCGAGGGCUACAUCACUAGGCAACUACUGCAAAGAAACAUGAGUUCUACAGGAUUUCAGGGAAGAAUUCUUCCUCUACUUUUGUUCACUUCUGAGUUUGUUUCUUGGCACCCUCUUCCUUAAUGUGAGGUCAGCCAGAGUACUUUCACAGUUUUUCCUGUCUGUUUUGUCGUUUGUUUCUGUUUCGCAGGCUUACAGCUCCGAAGUCUUUCCAAGAGAGAAGAGAAACCAAACUGGAAGAUGAGAGCAUUGCACAGGCACCAAAUGCUGUUUCUGUUCAACCUUUGUUUCAUCGAGAAAAGUGGGUGUCUAAAAUCAAAGCACGCAUUACUUCCCAUCACUUACUUGUAAUCUGAGACUAGUGUUUUAGUGGAGUCUGCUGCCAGACUACAGAGAAAAGGAAACUUAGUGGAUCACCAGGUUUUUCAGCCUCUGAGAAAGAUAACCAACCAAGAGGCUUCAUGAAUUUCUUGAGAAGAUAGAGGAUCUACUGAAGUUACCACUUCUUUCAGAAAACCAUGGCUGUCAAUGACUAAGGCAUGAACAAAGAAAGCUAAAUCUAUUUUAUCUUAUGUUAUAAAAUGUAAAGGAAAUGAUACUUCCAUAAUGUUUUAGGCCUUUCUGCAGAAUUUGUGAAAAUGCAGAAGAAUGGUGUUAGAUCCGGAAUAUGUAGUUUAGGUGGGAGAUUUCUUAGUAAUAAACAGCUUUGAAAAGGAAGAGAGUGAUUUAGCAGGUGUUGCCUCUGCUUCACCAUCCUUCCUGUAAUUCAGAAAUGCCAAAAGAUAGGUGAGUUUCUCAGUGCACACUGAAGGUCAACAAACCUAUCUUUACCAAGGCUGAAAUUGUUCUAGUACAGGUUAGAGGAAAGAAAACAAAUGUGAUCUGCUAAGCGUGAGACUACACCCAGAAAUCUGAGCAGUGGUUUUAUGAUUAUCCUAAGCUGUGCUUGAGGAACAGCUAACUGUAAGACUUACAUACUUACUCACAGGCAGGUGUCAGAUGAAGUAGCUGCAUGGAUGCUGGCCAUGCUGAAGUGAAUGGUGCUGAGACUUAAUGAAACAUGGUCACAGUUCCAUCUUUCUGUCAUUAGAUGCAUGUCAGUGCGUCUGACUGCUUGGGGAAAUGCUCUGCAUGCAGUAGAUGUGCUUUCCUAUGGAUACUACCCCAACUGGGAGGGGCAAGUAGUCCACAGAAGAUAUUAUUAUCCACAAUUACGGAUAGAAAGAAGUAAAGGAUGGUUAUUAAUAAGAAGCUCUCAUCUGCAAAGAAAAUUUGGUUUACCUGUGAGUAAAAGCCACUUGGAUAUAAACCUAGCUGCCACAUCACUAACUUAAGGCAGAAAUGUUACUCUAGAACUGGUAGAAAAUGAUCACUCGCAGAUUCUCAGGUACGGCUGAUGACGUUUCAUGCCCAGCAUAUUUUGUGCUCCAAAUUUCAGGUGACCAAGUGAAUAUCCUCUCAAUAUAAAGACUAAAAUCAAUGACACAAAACGUGUAUAAUUCACUAUACAAGGUUGUUAUAAUAUGCAGUCCUCUGUUUCACAGACCAAGAUUCAUAAUAGUUAGAAGCUAAGUCUCUUGGUGUUUCCAGUAUUGAUUUUUUUCCCCCCCCAUUUCUUUAAUUCUACUACAGUAAUCAUAGAAUCAUAGAAUGUCUUGAGCUGGGAGGGACCCAUGAGGAUCACUGAGUCCAACUCCUGACUCCACAUGUGACCACCCAAAAUCCAAACCCAAUGUCUGAGAAUGGCGUCCAGAAUGGUGGCAGCUCAGAGCCAUUCCCACUGCCCUGGGCAGCCUGUUCCAGGGCCCCACUGCCCUCUGGUGAAGAGCCUGUCCCUAACUCCCACCUGACCCUCCCCUGACACAGCUCCAUGCCAUUAUAGCAUGGAGAUUUCUGGAGAUGUGUGUCUUUAUGGGAAGGGAGAGAGGAGAAUAAGAUUUUGAAAUUAGUGUUCAGGCUAGGUAGUGACUUGCUGUUGUUAGGUGAUCUUCCCAUGCCCUUUUUACAUUCCUACGUGAAACUGAAAGGAUAUGUAUGAUGUUAAUACCAUUCCACUACCACUGACGCUUGCAGUUGGAAACAUUAGGCCUGAGGGCUUAGUUCAGCUAGUUCCUAAGCAUUUUCUUUUUCUUUAGGCUUUUUGUUUUUUCAUUGAAAAUAGUAGUUGUUGCUUAAAACUCACUCAAAACCAAGGGUUCUUCACCUUGCAAAUCACUAUCAGUACUGAGGGGCAUGAGGCUGGUUACAUAUCGAGCUCUGUAGCCAUCUCUGCUGUCCUCUAGGCUCUGGUGGUCCUCCUUGGGAACCCUAUUCUGUGCACCCGUUCAGAUCUGCCUCUUCUGCUUUCAAAGAACUGCUUCUGACUCACCCCUGGCACCAUCUGAGCACUUCUUCCUGUCUCUGGUUUCCAUUAUCCCUGGGAUGGCAUUUAUUGAUCAGAAAUGGGCUACAGAAGCAGAGCUGUGGAGAUCACAGAAUGGGGAACCUGCUGCAAGGAGCAGAGUGGGGAGCAGGCUGGGCAUGGAAAUGGAAACUUGCCUCUCCCCUCAACCUUCUUGUGCAUUUGGGCUGGUGGUUUGGGCUGGUGCCAAGGCUCAGCUCUAGGUCCGUUUUCCGUGUUCCUUACAAGGAUGUGGGUUGGAGGGACACCCAGGAAACAUUAGCAGUUGUCUGGAAGGAAGGUCCUAGCUGACAGCCGUGUUGUGGUGUGGGGCUUGGUGCUGUAUCUCAAAACAUCCCAUGUUACCAUCAGUCUGUGCAACCCCUCUUCUUCCAGAGGGUGGAAGAAGCGGUACCUACAAUUCAGUCACAGCAGGCCCUAAGGGGAAUGACUCAGGAGAACCAAGGAACAAACACCACGUACACCAUAUUUCUUUGGGUUUUGGGCAGACUCUUACCAUUUUGUAGAAUCAUAGAAUCAUGGAGUGGCCUGGAUUGAAAAGGACCAUAAUGAUCAUCUAGUUUCAACCCCCCUGCCAUGGGUGGGGUCACCAACUGCCAGACCAGGCUACCCAGAGCCACAUCCAGCCUGCACACUCUUAUAGGGGGGAAACAGCAGGAAACCAAGCGAUGCAAGGCAAUGCCUUUUUCACAGAGGUGCAGACUUCAGUUCUCACAUAACUAUAGCUGUCACUCUUCUUUCUGCGCUCACCUCCCUGCCUGCUUACCUUAUGAUGCAAAAUGUGCCUCGGGAUAUUUGUGGUGAUGUUGGUGAAAAUAUUACAAAAACAGAUAAUUGGAGAAUCAAGGCUUGGCAAACUGUUGUUCGAUCUGGCAAUAUAGCAAAGUGUGUCGUUUGCCAAGAGCAGUCUCAUCUGAUAGACUUUUGGGACCAAGAGCUGGCAAAUGAGUAAGCCUCACAUGAUUACCUUUAUUUUUGCUUUAUGAGCAAACAAAAUUCAGAGGUGGAGGGUAUAAACAAAGAAAGUGAAACUGGGAGAGUUCAUGUGUUUACGGCCUAAGAGCCCACACCUUCCACUGAGGCUUGUAAGAGGCUUAUGUGCUGUGCACAUAAGGUUACUUUGGGAGGGAGGAACUGGGUAGCACAGCUGCAUCUGCCUCCCAUACAGAAAGAAUGCUGCUGGAUCGUGAUGCAGCAUAGUAAUGUGCAUUAACAGACCUUCAGCUCCACAGACUUUACUCUCUUCCUUCCCUGUGGAUGGGUGUGUCUAACUGACAGCCGCCCAGCUUUGUAUUCUUUGGGCUUCCUGUAUAUGACUGUACGUGCAACAUAUUCAGUACAAAAAUAGCAAAAGAGAAUCAAGAAGUAGUAAAUCACCUGGUAAAAGCUGGAGGUCAUCAGACCAUGUCUUACAGAAGGUGCACAGGCUUUGUCCCCCACAAAGCAGGUCCCAGCUUGUUUUGUUUUCUGCAGCGUACAAAGGCCAUCUACUGGGCCUUAACACAACUGCUGUUAGGUGUGAUGUCUUGUGUAACAUCACUGAGCAUGGCACUGGGUGAUUGGGAUGAAUGUGCAAGUCCUUAAUUGAAAUUACUCAAUCACAGAAUCAUUAAGGUUGGAAAAGACCGCUAAGAUCAUCUUGUCCAACUGUCAACCCAUUGCCACCACGCCCACUAGCUGUGGUACACAGACCUUCUAUCCACUGAGCAGUUUAACUGCACUGGCAGAAAUAAAAACUUUUCUGUUUCUUUCAGAAGACUACAAAAACUGGUGCUGCACUUGACCUGAUUGGAUUAUUUGUAACUUAAGUGGCAGGUGUUGCGCCUUAAAUGGCAGUUUCAGUCAGCACCUUUUGUUUCCCUCCUUCAAAAGACAUAGACUUUCAGUGGUUUU
RNAcentral lists this long non-coding RNA (5018 nucleotides) under Gallus gallus (chicken). The record is from RNAcentral. Lineage: Eukaryota; Metazoa; Chordata; Aves; Galliformes; Phasianidae.